GACGAACGCUGGCGGUUGUGCUUAACACAUGCAAGUCGAACGGAAAGGCCCUGCUUUUGUGGGGUGCUCGAGUGGCGAACGGGUGAGUAACACGUGAGUAACCUGCCCUUGACUUUGGGAUAACUUCAGGAAACUGGGGCUAAUACCGGAUAGGAGCUCCUGCUGCAUGGUGGGGGUUGGAAAGUUUCGGCGGUUGGGGAUGGACUCGCGGCUUAUCAGCUUGUUGGUGGGGUAGUGGCUUACCAAGGCUUUGACGGGUAGCCGGCCUGAGAGGGUGACCGGCCACAUUGGGACUGAGAUACGGCCCAGACUCCUACGGGAGGCAGCAGUGGGGAAUAUUGCACAAUGGGCGGAAGCCUGAUGCAGCAACGCCGCGUGCGGGAUGACGGCCUUCGGGUUGUAAACCGCUUUCGCCUGUGACGAAGCGUGAGUGACGGUAAUGGGUAAAGAAGCACCGGCUAACUACGUGCCAGCAGCCGCGGUGAUACGUAGGGUGCGAGCGUUGUCCGGAUUUAUUGGGCGUAAAGGGCUCGUAGGUGGUUGAUCGCGUCGGAAGUGUAAUCUUGGGGCUUAACCCUGAGCGUGCUUUCGAUACGGGUUGACUUGAGGAAGGUAGGGGAGAAUGGAAUUCCUGGUGGAGCGGUGGAAUGCGCAGAUAUCAGGAGGAACACCAGUGGCGAAGGCGGUUCUCUGGGCCUUUCCUGACGCUGAGGAGCGAAAGCGUGGGGAGCGAACAGGCUUAGAUACCCUGGUAGUCCACGCUGUAAACGGUGGGUACUAGGUGUGGGGUCCAUUCCACGGGUUCCGUGCCGUAGCUAACGCUUUAAGUACCCCGCCUGGGGAGUACGGCCGCAAGGCUAAAACUCAAAGGAAUUGACGGGGCCCCGCACAAGCGGCGGAGCAUGCGGAUUAAUUCGAUGCAACGCGUAGAACCUUACCUGGGUUUGACAUGGAUCGGGAGUGCUCAGAGAUGGGUGUGCCUCUUUUGGGGUCGGUUCACAGGUGGUGCAUGGCUGUCGUCAGCUCGUGUCGUGAGAUGUUGGGUUAAGUCCCGCAACGAGCGCAACCCUUGUUCACUGUUGCCAGCACGUUAUGGUGGGGACUCAGUGGAGACCGCCGGGGUCAACUCGGAGGAAGGUGGGGAUGACGUCAAGUCAUCAUGCCCCUUAUGUCCAGGGCUUCACGCAUGCUACAAUGGCUGGUACAGAGAGUGGCGAGCCUGUGAGGGUGAGCGAAUCUCGGAAAGCCGGUCUCAGUUCGGAUUGGGGUCUGCAACUCGACCUCAUGAAGUCGGAGUCGCUAGUAAUCGCAGAUCAGCAACGCUGCGGUGAAUACGUUCCCGGG
This 1344-nucleotide ribosomal RNA is filed under the name uncultured bacterium. Its description in RNAcentral is "16S ribosomal RNA". It matches the Rfam family "Bacterial small subunit ribosomal RNA", at positions 28 to 1378 of the family's 1533-position model. The record is from RNAcentral.